UACAGAGGGUGCGAGCGUUAAUCGGAAUUACUGGGCGUAAAGCGUGCGUAGACGGUAGCGUAAGUCAGAUGUGAAAGCCCCGGGCUCAACCUGGGAACUGCAUUUGAGACUGCUCUGCUCGGGUGCGGAAGAGGGAAGCGGAAUUUCCGGUGUAGCGGUGAAAUGCGUAGAGAUCCGGAAGAACACCGGUGGCGAAGGCGGUCUGCUGGGGUAAUGCUGACACUGAUGCGCGACAGCGUGGGGAGCAAACAGG
This 253-nucleotide ribosomal RNA is filed under the name uncultured bacterium. RNAcentral's name for it is "partial 16S ribosomal RNA". It matches the Rfam family "Bacterial small subunit ribosomal RNA", at positions 524 to 776 of the family's 1533-position model. The record is from RNAcentral.